Molecule: ribosomal RNA, 240 nt
Filed under: Triticum aestivum (bread wheat)
Lineage: Eukaryota; Viridiplantae; Streptophyta; Magnoliopsida; Poales; Poaceae
Description: partial small subunit ribosomal RNA
Source: RNAcentral
AUGAAUGCCUUGGCUCUGAACUGUCGGGGAUGCGGGCGGCCCGAGACAGUUCAAGAAAUCCGCAACUUGAUUCAGUUGCUUUGUCCGAGUUUGAUCUUUCUCUCGGAGACCAAACUAUCAGCUACGAGAGCGCAAGAUCUAAGAUUUAGACUGGGAUUCAGACACGCGUUUGCUGUCAAUUCUGAGGGGCUCAGCGGUGGCCUCAUUUUGUUCUGGAAUGAUGACUCGGUGGUCAGUUUG